Molecule: ribosomal RNA, 468 nt
Filed under: uncultured bacterium
Lineage: Bacteria
Description: partial 16S ribosomal RNA
Rfam family: Bacterial small subunit ribosomal RNA
Source: RNAcentral
GACGAACGCUGGCGGCGUGCUUAACACAUGCAAGUCGAACGGAAAGGCCCUGCUUUUGUGGGGUGCUCGAGUGGCGAACGGGUGAGUAACACGUGAGUAACCUGCCCUUGACUUUGGGAUAACUUCAGGAAACUGGGGCUAAUACCGGAUAGGAGCUCCUGCUGCAUGGUGGGGGUUGGAAAGUUUCGGCGGUUGGGGAUGGACUCGCGGCUUAUCAGCUUGUUGGUGGGGUAGUGGCUUACCAAGGCUUUGACGGGUAGCCGGCCUGAGAGGGUGACCGGCCACAUGGGGACUGAGAUACGGCCCAGACUCCUACGGGAGGCAGCAGUGGGGAAUAUUGCACAAUGGGCGGAAGCCUGAUGCAGCAACGCCGCGUGCGGGAUGACGGCCUUCGGGUUGUAAACCGCUUUCGCCUGUGACGAAGCGUGAGUGACGGUAAUGGGUAAAGAAGCACCGGCUAACUACAUG